GACGAACGCUGGCGGCGUGCCUAAUACAUGCAAGUCGAACGCUGAAGGAGGAGCUUGCUCUUCUGGAUGAGUUGCGAACGGGUGAGUAACGCGUGGGUAACCUGCCUGGUAGCGGGGGAUAACUAUUGGAAACGAUAGCUAAUACCGCAUAACAGUAGAUGUUGCAUGACAUUUGCUUAAAAGGUGCAAUUGCAUCACUACCAGAUGGACCUGCGUUGUAUUAGCUAGUUGGUGGGGUAACGGCUCACCAAGGCGACGAUACAUAGCCGACCUGAGAGGGUGAUCGGCCACACUGGGACUGAGACACGGCCCAGACUCCUACGGGAGGCAGCAGUAGGGAAUCUUCGGCAAUGGACGGAAGUCUGACCGAGCAACGCCGCGUGAGUGAAGAAGGGUUUCGGAUCGUAAAGCUCUGUUGUAAGAGAAGAACGAGUGUGAGAGUGGAAAGUUCACACUGUGACGGUAUCUUACCAGAAAGGGACGGCUAACUACGUG
Molecule: ribosomal RNA, 495 nt
Filed under: uncultured bacterium
Lineage: Bacteria
Description: partial 16S ribosomal RNA
Rfam family: Bacterial small subunit ribosomal RNA
Source: RNAcentral